This 1025-nucleotide long non-coding RNA is filed under the name Pelobates cultripes (western spadefoot toad). The record is from RNAcentral. Lineage: Eukaryota; Metazoa; Chordata; Amphibia; Anura; Pelobatidae.
AGAUUAACAACAUUAAUACCUACAAAAAGCAAAUAAUCUACCUAUCUGCAGUUAAGCAGCAGCGGUCCUGCGGGCAAAGAGGUGCUGGAGCUGAGGCCACUCGGAUUACAAGCGUUUUGACCCCUGAGAAGGCACAUCAGCACAACUACAUCUGAGGCCUACCCGAGCGGUGAGUGGGGUGGACGGCCGCCACCUCGCUAUCCUGCCCUGCGGUCUCCCUUCGGAGCUCCGACGCCACGCGGUAAGGGCCCCGUAUCCCCCCCCUUUGGACCGGUGGGGGUCAUCCCGGUCCCAGGAGACUGUCUCCGCGACCUGUAAUGCCUGGGUCUGAGAGCGCUCCCCACAACCAAAAUGGCGGAAGCAGCAGGCAAACCUGAAAUGGCGGCGCAACCAGGGAGCACCAGGUCUCAGCAGAUCUGAUUCUUCGAGGCUGUCCAGACGGUUAAAAAGCAGAGGGGCCCCUCACUACAGCGAUGUCACUAACCCACAGACGGGGAUUCCCGGCUCCUGCGGCAAAGUGCAGUCGGGACCUGCCACCCGGUCCAUCCCUAUGCAACGCUGCAAACCCUGCCAACCUACACGACACCCCCGCAUUUCAGCUGAAUCCAGUAGAGGAUCGGGCAGACAAACGGGAUCAAACACAGUGCACCCACCCCUCUUACCACUAGUCACGCUGGACUCACUCCUACCAUGCCACAGACUCUGCAGAUCGGGGGUUGGAUGAGCAUGAACUGCCAGGGAGACUCUCUCAAGGUCUGGGCUGCAGUCAGAGGGGAUGGCUCCUGUCACUCUUGCCAUCUAUGCAACCUGAUGCUCUCUUUUUAUAACUUACACCGUUAAAACCACUUGCAUAGCUUAAGCCUUGUCUACCAUUUAUUUUUAUAUUAAUUUAGUCCUGUAUUGAGUCAGAUACAAAUCCAGCAAAGCAACUGUUUUAGCAUAUCUUGAAGCGUGAUGUUUAACCUACUCUAACUACACUAACAUAGCUAAUCUAGCAUUGUUAAGCACUAAUAGUUUUAUUUACU